Long non-coding RNA from Rhincodon typus (whale shark), 716 nucleotides. RefSeq lists it as uncharacterized. The transcript has 3 exons. The record is from RefSeq and is a predicted model, not a curated record. Lineage: Eukaryota; Metazoa; Chordata; Chondrichthyes; Orectolobiformes; Rhincodontidae.
UCAAUCCACCUAGUAAAUCAGUUUGUGUUUAACCUGUUUGUUUGCAGCUUCAGGCCUCGACACAGUGUCUGUGUGUGAGUGAAAGAGAGAGAGAGACUUUGGAUGCAAGCUACUGUAAGGGAUCAUAAAACUGAAGGAAAUAAUGACAGCCUCCUCCUGUCGCCUUGCGAUAGUCAGAUGCUUCUGAUCUGCUGAGAAUGUCUAGAGAUUUCAUAUUUCUUUUAAAGACAACUUCAGUUCAAUUUCAUUUGAAGGCAUGCUUGACUUGUGGAAGAAAGAAGAAAUGUGAUUAUUCGAAAGCUACAAGGAAUAUUGAAACAGAACUGCUCAUAAAGCCACAGAGAUACCAAAAGAAUGUUUUGGGAUUGCUUCAAAUGUACUAGUGACUUGUGAUAAAUGUCACAAUAAAGCAAAAAUACAAACUUCUGGAAGCACUCAGCAGGUUAGACAGCUUGAGAGAGACGCAGAGUUUAACGCUUCAGGUCGAAGACCUUUUGUUCAAAAAUUUCAUCUUCAAAAUUGAAAGUUGAUUUCAACAGUAGGAGUUCAUGUUGCAACUUUAAAAAAAGGUCCUGCAAUGUCUGAAACUAAAUUUGUUUCUCUGGCUUGGGUGUAUAAUUGCCAUGUUUCCAAGUUUACUUAAACUCAAAACAAUCCUGCAAGGCCAAGAUACAGAAUUUGUUUUGUAGGUUCCAGUCGCAUUAGGGCAGUGUGAA